Molecule: ribosomal RNA, 253 nt
Filed under: uncultured bacterium
Lineage: Bacteria
Description: partial 16S ribosomal RNA
Rfam family: Bacterial small subunit ribosomal RNA
Source: RNAcentral
UACGUAGGGCGCAAGCGUUGUCCGGAAUUAUUGGGCGUAAAGCGCUCGUAGGCGGCCUGUCGCGUCUGCUGUGAAAUCCCGGGGCUCAACCCCGGGCGUGCAGUGGAUACGGGCUGGCUGGAGGCAGGCAGGGGAGAACGGAAUUCCUGGUGUAGCGGUGAAAUGCGCAGAUAUCAGGAGGAACACCGGUGGCGAAGGCGGUUCUCUGGGCCUGUUCUGACGCUGAGGAGCGAAAGCGUGGGGAGCGAACAGG